AAUGGGCGCAAGCCUGAUCCAGCCAUGCCGCGUGGGUGAUGAAGGCCCUAGGGUUGUAAAGCCCUUUCGGCGGGGAAGAUAAUGACGGUACCCGCAGAAGAAGCCCCGGCUAACUUCGUGCCAGCAGCCGCGGUAAUACGAAGGGGGCUAGCGUUGCUCGGAAUCACUGGGCGUAAAGCGCACGUAGGCGGCUUUUUAAGUCAGGGGUGAAAUCCUGGAGCUCAACUCCAGAACUGCCUUUGAUACUGAGAAGCUUGAGUCCGGGAGAGGUGAGUGGAACUGCGAGUGUAGAGGUGAAAUUCGUAGAUAUUCGCAAGAACACCAGUGGCGAAGGCGGCUCACUGGCCCGGUACUGACGCUGAGGUGCGAAAGCGUGGGGAGCAAACAGGAUUAGAUACCGUGGUAGUCCACGCUGUAAACGAUGGAUGCUAGCCGUUGUCGGGUUUACUCGUCAGUGGCGCAGCUAACGCAUUAAGCAUCCCGCCUGGGGAGU
RNAcentral lists this ribosomal RNA (493 nucleotides) under uncultured bacterium. RNAcentral's name for it is "bacterial SSU rRNA". It matches the Rfam family "Bacterial small subunit ribosomal RNA", at positions 370 to 881 of the family's 1533-position model. The record is from RNAcentral.